Molecule: non-coding RNA, 84 nt
Organism: Potamilus streckersoni
Lineage: Eukaryota; Metazoa; Mollusca; Bivalvia; Unionida; Unionidae
Source: the annotation of a GenBank genome assembly
GACUGCUUCGGUGGCCUAGUGGUUAGAGCGUCCGCUUUGGAUUCGGAAGGUCGUUGGUUGUUGGUUCGAUCCCUGGCCGAGUCA